This is a long non-coding RNA of Drosophila novamexicana, 287 nucleotides long. RefSeq lists it as uncharacterized. The record is from RefSeq and is a predicted model, not a curated record. Lineage: Eukaryota; Metazoa; Arthropoda; Insecta; Diptera; Drosophilidae. The transcript is spliced from 3 exons.
GUAUAUUUCGAUGCUGCAACUAAAUAUUUUAUUAAAUAAAUACAUAAUAAAUAAAAUUGAUUUUCAGGUAUAUGUAUCUACCGAAUCGGGAUUUCUCCGGCCAUGCCGCUGUUAUUGUUCUCAGAUUCUUGUACAGCAGUGUUCCUACCCCGGCCCCGGCCUCUGCCCCUAGCUCCACCACGACCUCUGCCAACAUUUUUAACGUUACACACCUGGAAGUGGACGUUUUCGUGAGGUUUUCUGUUGGUUUUCCUCCUGAUUAUUGUGUUCGAUGACGCGGCCUUGUU